RNAcentral lists this ribosomal RNA (409 nucleotides) under uncultured bacterium. Its description in RNAcentral is "bacterial SSU rRNA". It matches the Rfam family "Bacterial small subunit ribosomal RNA", at positions 505 to 916 of the family's 1533-position model. The record is from RNAcentral.
UUGCCAGCCGCCGCGGUAAUACGGAGGGUGCAAGCGUUAUCCGGAUUCAUUGGGUUUAAAGGGUGCGCAGGCGGAUUAUUAAGUUAGUGGUGAAAUCCCGGGGCUCAACCUCGGAACUGCCAUUAAUACUGGUAAUCUGGAAUACGGUUGAAGUGGGCGGAAUGUAGCAUGUAGCGGUGAAAUGCAUAGAGAUGCUACAGAACACCGAUCGCGAAGGCAGCUCACUAAGCCGAUAUUGACGCUCAGGCACGAAAGCGUGGGGAGCGAACAGGAUUAGAUACCCUGGUAGUCCACGCCGUAAACGAUGAUAACUCGUUGUUGGCGACACACAGUCAGCGACUAAGCGAAAGCGAUAAGUUAUCCACCUGGGGAGUACGAUCGCAAGGUUGAAACUCAAAUGAAUUGACGG